AUUUACUGAGCUCCUGAAAUCAGAGAAGUGCUUUGCUUUUUCUCUAGAAGCCCUUGGGGAUCAAGGCUCAGCUCCUGGCAGGAUCAUCUUCUGCAUGAUUGCUGUAAUUCCUGGGCCCCAAUCUGGAUGCACUUUCUCAGGACUUCUUUCCACCCCAGGCCUGAUCAGCAGAUACUCCCAGCCAGGCCUCAGGAACCAUCACCACGUUAACAAACCAAUUAUAGGCUGGCUUCUACAUGAAAAUUUCUAAACAAACAAACAAAACAAAGAAACAUGAUUUCCAGGGUGGAGCUAUCUCUGAGGGUCUUUCUACCAGACUAUGGGUGAGGAAACUGAGGCCUAGAUGGGUUGGAUCCUCCAGUGGUGGAAACACAGGCAGUACCGAAGGGUUGUACCAAACUUGCUGAGAAGGUAGGAUUUUGAGGCAUAGGUCUUCCCCAGACCUUCCACUGCAGGCUGACUCUGUUUUCUUGCCAGGCUGGCCUAUCCAUUUAUUUGGUUGUCUUUUAGCCACUCGUGGUCACACCACAUUGUUCAGUGGAGGGACCCAGCAUGGCCUUCAUCUGGGUUUCCUGUGAGUUCCACUCCAGCACCAGCUGCAGCCUCAAACUACCACAAGGUACAGUCUGGAAGAACGGACUACUGCUUUUGCUGAGCUGUAUCA
Delphinapterus leucas (beluga whale) is the source of this 664-nucleotide non-coding RNA. The record is from RefSeq and is a predicted model, not a curated record. Lineage: Eukaryota; Metazoa; Chordata; Mammalia; Artiodactyla; Monodontidae.